This 377-nucleotide ribosomal RNA is filed under the name uncultured eukaryote. Its description in RNAcentral is "partial 18S ribosomal RNA". It matches the Rfam family "Eukaryotic small subunit ribosomal RNA", at positions 592 to 976 of the family's 1831-position model. The record is from RNAcentral.
CAAUAGCGUAUAUUUAAGUUGCUGCAGUUAAAAAGCUCGUAGUUGGAUUUCGGGUGGGAAUGGCCGGUCCGCCGUUUCGGUGUGCACUUGCUACGCCCACCUUGCUGCCGGGGACGUGCUCUUGAGUUCACGCUCGGGACACGGAGUCGGCGAGGUUACUUUGAGUAAAUUAGAGUGUUCAAAGCAGGCCUACGCUCUGAAUACAUUAGCAUGGAAUAACACGAUAGGACUCUGGCCUAUCUUGUUGGUCUGUAGGACCGGAGUAAUGAUUAAGAGGGACAGUCGGGGGCAUUCGUACUUAACUGUCAGAGGUGAAAUUCUUGGAUUUGUUAAAGACGGACUAAUGCGAAAGCAUUUGCCAAGGAUGUUUUCAUUGA